AGCUCUCCAGCGCCGAUGGUAGUUGGAUGUACGUCCCGUGAGAGUAGGACGUCGCCGGGC
This 60-nucleotide ribosomal RNA is filed under the name Aliicoccus persicus. Lineage: Bacteria; Bacillati; Bacillota; Bacilli; Caryophanales; Staphylococcaceae. The record is from RNAcentral.